This 244-nucleotide ribosomal RNA is filed under the name uncultured bacterium. Its description in RNAcentral is "partial 16S ribosomal RNA". It matches the Rfam family "Bacterial small subunit ribosomal RNA", at positions 524 to 767 of the family's 1533-position model. The record is from RNAcentral.
UACAGAGGUGGCAAGCGUUGUUCGGAAUUACUGGGCGUAAAGGGCGCGUAGGCGGUCUUUUAAGUUCCGUGUGAAAUCCCUCGGCUCAACUGGGGAACUGCACGGGAAACUGGAAGGCUUGAGUUCGGGAGAGGGAAGCGGAAUUCCGGGUGUAGCGGUGAAAUGCGUAGAUAUCCGGAGGAACACCGGUGGGGAAGGCGGCUUCCUGGACCGAAACUGACGCUGAGGCGCGAAAGCUAGGGGA